RNAcentral lists this ribosomal RNA (774 nucleotides) under uncultured Neocallimastigales. RNAcentral describes it as "partial large subunit ribosomal RNA". It matches the Rfam family "Eukaryotic large subunit ribosomal RNA", at positions 22 to 644 of the family's 3401-position model. Lineage: Eukaryota; Fungi; Neocallimastigomycota; Neocallimastigomycetes; Neocallimastigales. The record is from RNAcentral.
GUACACGCUGUGACUAGCAUAUCAAUAAGCGGAGGAAAAGAAACUAACAAGGAUUCCCCUAGUAACGGCGAGUGAAGCGGGAAGAGCUCAAAUUUGAAAUCUUAAAGGGUUUCCCUUUACGAAUUGUAGUUUAAAGAAGUGUCUUCUGUUGAGGUUUUGGUAAAAGUUCUUUGGAAUAGGACAUCAUAGAGGGUGAGAAUCCCGUAUUUGACCCUUACUUUCAGCUUUGUGAUACACUUUCAAAGAGUCGGAUUGUUUGGGAAUGCAGUCCAAAAUGGGUGGUAAAUUUCAUCUAAAGCUAAAUAUUGGCGAGAGAUCGAUAGCGAACAAGUACCGUGAGGGAAAGAUGAAAAGAACUUUGAAAAGAGAGUUAAACAGUACGUGAAAUUGUCAAAAGGGAAGCGUUUGACACCAGUGUUGUUUUUCUGAAAAUCAAUUAAAGAACUGUUUAUGCUAAGUUGUUUAGACUUUAUCAGCUAUCUGUUUAGUUUUGAGCUUUUCUUUAAUGCACUUUUCAGUUAACAAGUCAACAUCAAUUUCUUUUGCUGUAAAAAAGCUUGAGGAAGGUGGCUUGAGAUUCGUCUUAAGUGUUUAUAGCCUCUUGCCUAUGCAGUCGGAGAGAUUGAGGUCUGCAGCGUAGAUCCUUCGGGGCUAAAUGCAUUUGUGCUAAGUUAUAGCAUUUUAUAGACAACUUGUUGACUAUGAUUUGUCUUGUAGCUUACUCGCUUAUGUUAUUUUACCUACGCUUAGGAUGUUGACUGAUAUGUAGUCGUA